Molecule: ribosomal RNA, 305 nt
Filed under: uncultured bacterium
Lineage: Bacteria
Description: bacterial SSU rRNA
Rfam family: Bacterial small subunit ribosomal RNA
Source: RNAcentral
UUUUUCCUACGGGGGGCAGCAGUAGGGAAUCUUCCACAAUGGGGGAAACCCUGAUGCAGCAACGCCGCGUGAGUGAAGAAGUAUUUCGGUAUGUAAAGCUCUAUCAGCAGGGAAGAAGAAAGACGGUACCUGACUAAGAAGCCCCGGCUAACUACGUGCCAGCAGCCGCGGUAAUACGUAGGGGGCAAGCGUUAUCCGGAUUUACUGGGUGUAAAGGGAGCGUAGACGGCAUAGCAAGUCUGAAGUGAAAGCCCGUGGCUCAACCGCGGAACUGCUUUGGAAACUGUUAAGCUGGAGUACUGGAG